Molecule: non-coding RNA, 633 nt
Organism: Salvelinus sp. IW2-2015
Lineage: Eukaryota; Metazoa; Chordata; Actinopteri; Salmoniformes; Salmonidae
Source: the annotation of a RefSeq genome assembly
GCUCUUUUCAUGAUUACUUGUUACAAUAUGAUUAGAUACUAUCAACAUAGUGCACAGCAGUUUUCAUACUGUUGAAAGUUUACUGGGGAACGGGGAACGUGAAUGUGUCCAAUCUCCUGGAGUUCCAGACUAUACCAGUAGGGGGCAUCCGUGACAAAGUGACGUUCGUCCCACCAUGACGGUCCUGCCCCCCUCCAGUGUGGAGCUGCAGCAGGGGAAGGCCACUCUCAUGUGCCUGGCAAACAAGGGCUUCCCCACAGACUGGAAGCUGAGCUGGAAGGUGGAUGGGAGCAGUAGCAGCACCUGGGAGGUGACCGGGAGCCCUGGGGUCCUGGAGAAGGACGGCCACUACAGCUGGAGCAGCACCCUGACCCUCCCUGUCGACCAGUGGAGGAAGGUGGGCUCUGUGACCUGUGAGGCCACCCAGGGCUCCCAGACUCCACUCUCGGAGACACUGAGGAGAGACCAGUGUUCUGAUUAAUGAGCUCCUCCUCUGACUCCACUGUUUUUACUCUGUUCUACACUUUUUACUCUGUCCUCGCCGUCUUACUGAUKCAGCACUACUAGCACCACAGGAGGUUGGUGGCACCUUAAAUAGGGAGGACGGGCUCAUAGUUAUGGCUGGAAUGGAAU